GGGACGUUAGCUCAGUUGGUAGAGCAGCGGACUUUUAAUCCGUUGGUCGCAGGUUCGAAUCCUGCACGUCCUACCA
RNAcentral lists this transfer RNA (76 nucleotides) under Ramlibacter tataouinensis. RNAcentral's name for it is "tRNA-Lys". It matches the Rfam family "tRNA". From Rfam's summary of the family: Transfer RNA (tRNA) molecules are approximately 80 nucleotides in length. Their secondary structure includes four short double-helical elements and three loops (D, anti-codon, and T loops). Further hydrogen bonds mediate the characteristic L-shaped molecular structure. tRNAs have two regions of fundamental functional importance: the anti-codon, which is responsible for specific mRNA codon recognition, and the 3' end, to which the tRNAs corresponding amino acid is attached (by aminoacyl-tRNA synthetases). tRNAs cope with the degeneracy of the genetic code in two manners: having more than one tRNA (with a specific anti-codon) for a particular amino acid; and 'wobble' base-pairing, i.e. permitting non-standard base-pairing at the 3rd anti-codon position. Lineage: Bacteria; Pseudomonadati; Pseudomonadota; Betaproteobacteria; Burkholderiales; Comamonadaceae. RNAcentral also lists the same sequence under 44 other names. The record is from RNAcentral.